GCCAGUGUCUCAUACUUGUUGAAUCAAAGAAAAUGAGUGCUGCUUCACAGCGCCGCCCCAUUCCCUGCUCACAGCACCAGUCCUCCAGGGCAGUCAGGGUUUGGUGUAGUACAUGGGGACAAAUAUUUGACAGGCAGGCCCCACGUACCAGCCUGCCAACCACUGUGCAUUGGUGCUGUGAGUGGUGAUUAGAGCGCUGCAGUGAAGCUUUUUCCAAAGAAUAUCUAUUGGUGGAACAUUGCAUACUGGUUGUGGUAUAAUCAAACUAAAGAUUUUAAUGAAGGCAUGGCAUGGCACAUACCACUACUCUUAUUAUCCAACAAAAACAACAAAAAAUGAGAUUUGGAUUAGAAUGCAGUAGUUUUGGCUAAACAAAAUUUCCAUCUUAAUAAAACCAUCAACAUUUGAGAUAUCACGUUGUGUGCCUCAUGCAGGUGAUAUCCAGUUAAUUGAUGAGAUGGCUGUGGAACAGAUUAUCGUUUUAGAAUAAAAAAAAGACCUAAAUUGUUAAGGUCUAGAUAUUGUGACAUCUAAAACAAUAGUGGGAACAAAAAUGAGAACAACACUGUGAUCAAAAUUGAUAGACAUGAGAUAUCCCCAACAUGGUUAUUUUUUGAUAUAUGAAAUGUACUACAUAGUAGAAUUAAUGAUAAGAAGAAAAAUAUCUAUUAUACAUUAGGGCGUGUGGGAGUUUAAGCAAUCAUUGCAUUUCUUCUUUUCUGGCACACAGUCAUUGCAUAUCUUUGAUUUCAAGGAAAACAACAUAGUGGUAACACUACCAUGUUGUGUGCUUUAGGAUAGGGACAUCAUAGAUUAAGAAUAUUUAACUGGAUAUAUCAUAAAAUUAUAAAGGAUAUAAUCAAUAUUUAGUACAAAAUUGGAAGUUAAUUCCCUUGAUAAAGGAUAUCGAUUGGAGAAUAUUCCAAGACAUUAUGAAGCAAGGUUUACCAUACCAUAGUGAAUGUACCAUAUAGAACCUGUAUGCAGACUCAUACUAUACCAAUACUUGAUAUGCCUCACCAUCUCGUACCGUACCGCAUACCAAUACUGUAAUAGGAUGGUAUCGGUAUGGGGUUUAGUACCAAGAUGGCAAACAUUGUUACAAAGUAUGUACCAAAGUAGGAUUAGAGGAUAGAAUUAGAAUAGCGAUGACAACAUGAUAACUGGUAAACUAAAAACUUGCAUUGACAAAAGAAUGCAUUUCAGUCCAAAUAGUUAGAGUAAGGCUUGUUGACUUUAGUAGUGGCUGAAGCUCCUAAAAGAUAGGCUAAAUUUGUUGGAUGUUGACAUUCUUUCAGCAUAAUCUUCAAAGUAUCAUCUUAUGCAAAUAACCACCAGCUUAAAGGACCUCAAGAGAAUACAGAUAAGAGCAAACAUGAAUAGACUGAAUUUCAUCGACAUCUGCAGAUACGAAGGAAUAUGUAUUAUUCUAAUCUAGACAUCUUUCAUGGCUUUAUAAUGAAGAAUGAUUAUACAUUGAAUUUUUAAAAGUAUGAUCAGACUCAAAUAAAAUUUAAUUUUGAGAUCAUAUUAUAUCAUGCAUGGUCUAAUAUACAUGAAUCCCCCAAUCUUUUCAAGAGUUCCUCUUCCCUGCUCCCACAGCAGCUCCUGAUUCAGGUAUCAAAAUUUCCAUCAUUACAAAUUUAUGGUGAACUUUUAUAUUUUCUGACAUAAGGGAAGCUUCUAUUUUAAGUCAACAAAAUGAAGAAAGAUAAUUGGGAAGAAUUAUGUCAGAAGAUGAGCUCUGUGAUUUGCCAUAAAGUGUGCAAAGAAGGAAUUGCCAGGCUUUGUCUUGAUGUCUGAACCACAGACAAUUUAGCAAAUAAUGCAAGUUUUGAAAUCAAAUUCUUAAAUGAAAUGCUACAGUUGCAAGCUAUUUCUGCAUAUAACAUAAUAUAUUUAUGUGAAAUGCAAUGUUCCUGACUCACCUAAUUAUACAUGAUUGAACUGCAUCAAAGAAAAAAGAAAAAGGGAAUCACUCACCAUCGAAAAUAGUCACUUCUAAUGCCCAAAGGUGCAGCAAGCAAGAUAUCUGUAAUCCAAGGAGACAAUGGCCGCAAUGGUUUCCGAUCAUGCUCCUGCAGGAGUGAACUGGAGGCUUCUUUCUCCCUGGAGUCACUUGUGGUGGCAUGAUUGCUACAGCUGCUUCCAUCCACUUCACUACUAUGAUGCUCAGACUUGUAAAUUGGUCGAUUAUAGUGAGUAAGCACCCGAAGAAUUUCCCCACAUGCUAAAGCCCAUUGUUCAUUAUAAUCUUUCUGCAAUUAGAAGCAACAAAUAUAGAUGAUAACAUGCAUAGAACAAAACAAAUGCUUGAAUGCGUUCAUUGCAACUAACAGAUUAUGAUUUUAGAAUCAAAUGGUGCCACAUGUAGUUAAAUACAUCAGACUGCUGAAAAAGAAAACUAACACAACAAAUAAUCAAGAAUGACUUACCUCAUUAUUUUGGCUGAAUAGAGAUAUAAAAGAACUAAAUGGAGGAUCAUUUUUAUCAUAAACCAAUGUCCCAUCAAUUAUACGUGAAAGAAUAGGAUGGACGAUAGCAUGGCCAUGCUCUGGAUGAUGAAGAACAAAUAUUGCUGGAAUACAAAGUAAUAAAUAGUAAAGAUCAGCAAGUUGUUUCAACACUACAGAAAAAAAAGGCAUAUGAUCAAGCUGUCUCUACUAUAUCAGCUGAUUAAUAGGAGUAUGAUUCCAGUACCCAAUACGUCAUCCAAUAGGCGCUUUUCUUUAGAUGGAUAAUAAUUCUGGAUUAGCUGCACGGGUAAAAUCAAGAAGCAGGUGAAGAUAAGUUGUUUAAGCAUCAUUUUGUUCAUACAAAUUUAUGUUUUAUCAGUAAGCUCAUUAUGAUUUCAUAAGAUUACUGAUAUAAGCUCAUCUCAUGCCAAAUUCUCCUAACAUGUUUUGCUAGUUGACAACCACCUAUACAAAACUAAAAGGUCCAUACCUGAGCUACAUCUUCUGGGAACUGCUCCGAGAUGAACUGACCAAAAUAUUCAACAUAGGCCACAAUUUGUGCCUUACAAAAUUGCACAAAGCAUAUCAGUUUUUGGAGAAAAGAAAAAUGAGAAAAAAAUUUAGAAGAUGGCUUGACACAAAAUAUAAAGUAUACAUGCAAUAUCUAUAAAGGAAGAGCUAUUUGUUCUAAAAGCAAGUAUUAAAUUAGGUUGCCCCCAUUAAUGCCAAAUCAUAAAUUCAGAAUACAACUUCAGAUUUCAGCAGAAUAGAAGAAACUCAAAGAGAUGAAGUUUCAGCCUGAAAAGGACAUAAAUGACAAAAAGCAGAAGCUUUGCAUGUUUGCAUUUCUAUCAGUUAAGGGACAAUGUGCAUGUCAGGUUAGAUGUUUAUAACACAAAUUCAUUUGAGAAAAGGAAACGAAACCAAUAUCGAUAUCCUGGCAUGUAAUAGAACUAUAAAAGUUUUCUCCCCUGAAGAGUUGUUUUCCUAUGGAAUGCAAGACAGAGUUGAAGAAGGCAUGUCUAAAUAUCACACUUAUUUUUUUCAAAAAAAAAAAGAAGAAACCUCCUAUAAUUAAGUAAUGGUGAGAAAAGUUAACUAUUCAAUAUUCUGCAGCAUCAGAAAUAACCACGAUAAGUGUGGAAAACAUAAGCAAAUUAAGCACCUUACAGAAGAAUAGAGAAAAGAGACAGCUAUACUUCCUAGCAUCAAUAAAACAUAGUUGCAUAAAACACCAGAUUUAUUUUACUUUUAUUUGCACCUGGAUUGCCAUGGGUGUAAAUAAAUCAAGAUUCCAUCUUCAAUAUAGUGCUUACUAUUAUUAUUGUAGGAAAAUGCGUGAAAGCUAAAUCUUGAUUCCCAACUUGCAUAUGUAUUGGUCAUUUAAAGGGAUGAUUUAGGAUAACAAUAAUAGACAAGACAUAAGAGGGUGAGCCUUGAUGCAAUGGUAAGGUUGCUCAAUUGUGACCUAGAGGUCAUGCAUGCAAAACACAGAAAUAGCUUUUCUGUAUAUGGGGGUAAGGCUGCAUACAUCUAACCUAAACCCCACAAUGUUGGGAGCUUUAUGCAUUUGCUGCCCUUUUUAACAACCAACAAGACAUGAAAAGAGAUGAUGAGAGUAAGACAAGGUAAAAAGAAGAUGAAAGGAGGAGAGCAGAACCACAAAAGAAAGUUUACAAAGAAACAAAGAGGGGAAAGAUCAGAUAUAAGAAUACUCCACACUUUCACAUAUCAUUUAUUGUUAUCAUGAACGAACAUUAGGGAGGUGGCAAACUCCAAGUUCACCUUUGGUACCCAGCCACUUAAGGUUACAAAAUAUUAGUACUUGGACCUGCCUUGUACAUGCCAUCAUCAAGUAUAGUGCGCCAUGACAACGAUUUGCCACACAAAAGCAUCUGGGAUACUAAAAUUUAUAUAUAGUUAAAAUAUUAAUUAAAAAAACACAAACACAUACAUUACAAGAAUGCCUCAGAGUCCAGCACGCUUGCUGGAGUAUAAGAUUUUCCAUUAUACGUAAGAAGAUGCGAGCUAGGGGUUCAAAACAAUCUAUGAUGUGACCAAGCAACCUAAUACGUGAACACAUUAAAUUCAGCAAUGUAGACAAUAACAAUUGCAAUCAUUGUACCAGAGCUCCUCUCUUGCUGGCACAAAGUUGCUUCCACACACUAGCAUCAUACACAUAACUCAGAAGUGAAUUCAUUAAGAACAUUUGUAAGAAAGGAAAAAAUUGUUUCGUUACGAAUUUCUGUUCUAUCAUUUUAUUUUACCUUUUUAUAUAUGCAAUUCUUGGAUUUCUGUAGAUGUUUUUAUUUGCCUUUUCUUUUUACAUAUGCAAUACUAGGCCAGUUGACUGUUUUAUUCACAUUUCACAUGCCAAAACCCUCUAGAUAAAGACAUUUUGUAGUUCUAUGUUGGAUUUAUUUUUGUUCAACAUCCCAUACUAUAGCAAGUAGAUAUUUUCUCCAUAGCAAAAACUAAAUGCUGAUGUGGAUAAUGUGAAGCCAGGGUACUUAAUCAAGUGGAAGCUUCAAGAGUUAUACAAAAAAUUGGCUUGUAUUGAAGAUAGAAAUAAUCAAGAUUGGCUAUGCUGGUAUCAAGACCCAUACCGGUUGGCCAACGGCACAAUUCGGUGUGCCCCCAUGCUAUUCCAUGUCGAGCCCAAACUAACACAAUAGAGCAAAGGGGGGAGAGAGAGAAUUAGAGAAAGGAAGAGAGAGAGGGGGGGAGGGAGAGGGAGGGAAGGAGAGGGAGACAUUAGAGACAUCGACAACUGCGGGGAAAUUUUGGGCCAUCCGACAGCCUCCGUGCCACCUUCCCCUCCCUCCUCUUCUCUCCCUUCCCCUCUAUCUAUCUCUACUCUUAUUUUCUCUCACGGAGGACUACAGAGCCUGGAAGGCCUCUGCUGCCCUUCGGUGGCUACUGCUGGUAUCUCCGCUGGCCUCCUUUUUCUUCACUCCCUCUCUCUUUCUCUCUCUUUUCUUCUUGGUUUAUUCCUCAUUUUUAUGUCGAUUUAGGCCCGGUACAAUUGGAUAUGAAGGCGUAUCAACUCGUACUACCAGACGAUCCUUGAUAGAAUCUAUAAAUAGACUCAUUUGGGAUAUAUCCGAACACAUCACAUCCACUCCCUCUUCCUCUUGUGCUCUGUCUCUCAUAGCUCAUUGCUUCCAAGACAAAGACACUACUUUUCUUAAGUACUCGUUUUUCAAGUUUCCACUUUCUUCUUCCUUUUCUAGGCAACUAAAGGAAGUCAUUCAGGUCAAGCCUCCCAGCAAUCGUUCUCGUUAGAGGAGGAUUUGGCUAAGCCCGAUUUUGUGCCUUGGGGAUGAGAUUGAUGUAGACCCAUACGUAAGGAAGCAAAUCACAUUCUUGGGGCAAUGUACAUCACAUGCUUCGAUCCAGACAAGAUCUUUUCUAUCGGAUGAAUUUAUUUUAGUACAUUAUUCUUUUAUAACACUAUUCUAAAAUAAUAAAAACAGCAACAUAGCAAUUUCUAGGUCAUAUUCCUCCAACAUCUUCAGCUUAAUCUUUGUUUAAAGGGAGGCAACUCAGUUAAUCUAAUAAUUGAACCAUGCUUCUGUCGAACACCAACUUGUGAUAAUACUUUAGUACUUUUGCAGAACCCUUGGCGGAUAAUCCUAGAAGAGCUCUUCUAAAAGUAAAAACCCCCAAAUCCUGGCACAUUUUAAGUUUGUAUAGCAGUAUUGCUGACUCAAAUAAGAAAAUCAGAAAUUUUUUUGCUAACAAGAUGAAAAUGUCAGGAUAACUUUCUCUUGUCUCAAAUAAAAAGGCUUACCAGAAUAGAUGUUUAUUAAAGCCAAACUCAUACUAAAUAUAUACACAUGAAACAGGACUAAAGAAAAAUCCAGCAGUGCCCCAAAUAUGAAGAUGUAAAGGUGAAACAAAGAAGGAGAAAAAAGAAGAAAUAUUUAUAAAAUAACAAAUUAAAAUCAAGUG
Molecule: long non-coding RNA, 6410 nt
Filed under: Elaeis guineensis (African oil palm)
Lineage: Eukaryota; Viridiplantae; Streptophyta; Magnoliopsida; Arecales; Arecaceae
Description: long non-coding RNA (EGUI_LNC006312)
Source: RNAcentral